Molecule: long non-coding RNA, 978 nt
Organism: Elaeis guineensis (African oil palm)
Lineage: Eukaryota; Viridiplantae; Streptophyta; Magnoliopsida; Arecales; Arecaceae
Source: RefSeq, a predicted model, not a curated record
AAGACGCUAUUUUAUCCGUCAAUCUUUCUUAAACCGCAGGGGAUGGGAAAGAUAUACAUCGCAACAAAACCCAAAAUAUCCGCGCGCACGUCCCUCAGCAGAGCUUCCUCUUUUGCGCGCGGGUUUUUUUUUUCCAGGCCCUUCCUCUUCCAGCCGCGCGGGAUUUUCUUCACACCCUUUCUCCUCCGUCUUGCCUCCCCAAAUGCCGAUGAGCAUCACGGGCGUGCCGUCUCUGCGAUCCAUCUGACGGCCAGGAAGCCUCCGUCGUCUUUCCCCUAGGGCAGUGGGUGCCCAAGAUUGCCGUGGACGCAUACGUCGCUCCCAACGUCGUCGUCGCCGGCCAGAUCACCGUCUACAACGGCGCCUCCAUCUGGAACGAAUCCGUCCUCCGCGGCGACUUCAAGAAGAUCACCGUCGGGUUCUGCUCCAACAUCCAGGAGCGCUGCGUCCUCCACGCUGCCUGGUUCUCCCCCACAGGGGUUCAUCUGACCCGAGAACAUGAGCGUAGUAGGAAAUUUAUCUAUUACCCUGUGGAAAAUGGAAGGAAAUGAGGUUAUCUUAAAGAUUUCAAAAUGGGCACAAAAAAUUGAGGUGGCACAUGGAAUACUUAUAAGUAAAAAUCCAUCUAAAAUGGUGGGUAAUACUAUUCUAGGGACCGAAUUUUGAGAGAUUUAUAUUGAUUUUUGUAAGGGUGCAAAAUGAGCCGUUGAUCCGAACUGAUGGACUGUAUCAAAUUAUUAGUGAUGCUAUUGGGUCAAUAAUUGCAUGGUCCUCUACUUUUAUUGAACUUGCCAAUAAAUGAUGUGAAGCUUCUAAUCAUUAAUGUAUAUAGUCAUUUUUUUUUGUCUAUUUGGGAUAAUAGUUUUUUUUUAAUCAAAAUGUUAAAAGAUAUAUCUACAAUUUUGUUUAAAAAAAUUAUACUUUCAUCACUGUUAGUUUUGUUACAUGAAAAGCUCUUCUUAUUGUGAACUUUUAUUU